UGGGGAAUAUUGGACAAUGGGCGAAAGCCUGAUCCAGCCAUGCCGCGUGUGUGAAGAAGGUCUUCGGAUUGUAAAGCACUUUAAGUUGGGAGGAAGGGCAGUAAGCGAAUACCUUGCUGUUUUGACGUUACCGACAGAAUAAGCACCGGCUAACUCUGUGCCAGCAGCCGCGGUAAUACAGAGGGUGCAAGCGUUAAUCGGAAUUCCUGGGCGUAAAGCGCGCGUAGGUGGUUCGUUAAGUUGAAUGUGAAAGCCCCGGGCUCAACCUGGGAAAUGCAUCCAAAACUGGCGAGCUAGAGUAGGGCAGAGGGUGGUGGAAUUUCCUGUGUAGCGGUGAAAUGCGUAGAUAUAGUAAGGAACGCCAGUGGCGAAGGCGACCACCUGGGCUCAUACUGACACUGAGGUGCGAAAGCGUGGGGAGCAAACAGG
This 429-nucleotide ribosomal RNA is filed under the name Pseudomonadota bacterium. RNAcentral's name for it is "Proteobacteria bacterium partial 16S ribosomal RNA". It matches the Rfam family "Bacterial small subunit ribosomal RNA", at positions 355 to 776 of the family's 1533-position model. Lineage: Bacteria; Pseudomonadati; Pseudomonadota. The record is from RNAcentral.